RNAcentral lists this ribosomal RNA (488 nucleotides) under uncultured bacterium. RNAcentral describes it as "partial 16S ribosomal RNA". It matches the Rfam family "Bacterial small subunit ribosomal RNA", at positions 28 to 507 of the family's 1533-position model. The record is from RNAcentral.
GACGAACGCUGGCGGCGUGCUUAACACAUGCAAGUCGAACGGAAAGGCCCUGCUUUUGUGGGGUGCUCGAGUGGCGAACGGGUGAGUAACACGUGAGUAACCUGCCCUUGACUUUGGGAUAACUUCAGGAAACUGGGGCUAAUACCGGAUAGGAGCUCCUGCUGCAUGGUGGGGGUUGGAAAGUUUCGGCGGUUGGGGAUGGACUCGCGGCUUAUCAGCUUGUUGGUGAGGUAGUGGCUUACCAAGGCUUUGACGGGUAGCCGGCCUGAGAGGGUGACCGGCACCAUGGGAACUGAGGCAGGGUCAAGAGGCCUAAGGGAGGCAGCAGUAGGGAAUCGUACGCAAUGGGCGAAAGCCUGACGGAGCAACGGCGCGUGAGUGAUGAAGGUUCGAGGAUCGGAAAACUAUGUUAUGAGGGAAGAAAAAAGGGGGAAGGAAAUAUGCAGGGCGUGACGGUACCUAAUCAGAAAGCCACGGCUAACUACGUG